AGUGAACGCUGGCGGUAGGCCUAACACAUGCCAGUCGAACGGCAGCACAGUAAGAGCUUGCUCUUACGGGUGGCGAGUGGCGGACGGGUGAGGAAUACAUCGGAAUCUACUUUUUCGUGGGGGAUAACGUAGGGAAACUUACGCUAAUACCGCAUACGACCUACGGGUGAAAGCAGGGGACCUUCGGACCUUGCGCGAUUGAAUGAGCCGAUGUCGGAUUAGCUAGUUGGCGGGGUAAAGGCCCACCAAGGCGACGAUCCGUAGCUGGUCUGAGAGGAUGAUCAGCCACACUGGAACUGAGACACGGUCCAGACUCCUACGGGAGGCAGCAGUGGGGAAUAUUGGACAAUGGGCGCAAGCCUGAUCCAGCCAUACCGCGUGGGUGAAGAAGGCCUUCGGGUUGUAAAGCCCUUUUGUUAGGAAAGAAAAGCAGCAGGUUAAUACCCCGCUGUUCUGACGGUACCCAAAGAAUAAGCACCGGCUAACUUCGUG
This 492-nucleotide ribosomal RNA is filed under the name uncultured bacterium. Its description in RNAcentral is "partial 16S ribosomal RNA". It matches the Rfam family "Bacterial small subunit ribosomal RNA", at positions 29 to 507 of the family's 1533-position model. The record is from RNAcentral.